Non-coding RNA from Danio rerio (zebrafish), 115 nucleotides. The record is from Rfam. NCBI's taxonomy places the organism in Eukaryota, Metazoa, Chordata, Actinopteri, Cypriniformes, Danionidae.
ACCGGCAGCUAGCUCUCUGCAACUCUCUCAUAGUCGCGCACUGAAGCUAAGCAGGGCUGCCCCUGUUCAGUACCUGGAUGGGAGACCACAUGGGAACACUAGGUUGCUGCCGGAA